GGACAGUAGAACCACGUCAACAAUUGAUCUUAUUCCUGUCAAUGUCCAUCCAUGCAUUUUUUUUGUAUUUGUAAGGAAAAAUGAAAAUAUAAGAGCCUUUUUGGGAGCAGUUGAGUUUGAGGGCCACAUUCCAACAAAGAUUCCUGAUCUACCCCCUUUAACUGAAGUCACAGUAUCAACACUAUUUGAAGAAAUAGAGAACCAGUGGAUGGUCUCUGACAGACUUAUUGUUAGCUAGGAGGAAGACAUGGAGGGUUCAACGCUGACACAGAGGAGGGCUGAGUGUCAGUUGAAGGAAAGGGAGAUCCAGACAGACGACAUGAUGGAGCUGGGAGCCAGGUUGGCUCUGGUGAGACAGAUCCAGAGGGAGCAGGAGAAGGAGAUGAAGAGGAUUUGGUUUGAGACGAGGAAAAUGCCAAGCCUGAUUGAGGAGAAUGUGAGAGAUGUGACCAACCGUCCACUCACUGAGUUCAUGGCUCCCUGUAUUGACUCCCUCCCACCACUGGCUUUCACCAAUCGGAGGCCUAUACCAACCAUGUUGCAUCCCCCC
Oncorhynchus gorbuscha (pink salmon) is the source of this 550-nucleotide long non-coding RNA. RefSeq lists it as uncharacterized. Lineage: Eukaryota; Metazoa; Chordata; Actinopteri; Salmoniformes; Salmonidae. The record is from RefSeq and is a predicted model, not a curated record. The transcript has 4 exons.